GAACUUACCAGGUCUUGACAUCCCCCGCGAUGCUUUAGAGAUAAAGCGGAGGUAUUCGGGGAGACAGGUGGUGCAUGGUUGUCGUCAGCUCGUGUCGUGAGAUGUUGGGUUAAGUCCCGCAACGAGCGCAACCCCUAUUGCUAGUUACCAUCAUUAAGUUGGGGACUCUAGCGAGACUGCCAGUGAUAAACUGGAGGAAGGUGGGGAUGACGUCAAAUCAUCAUGCCCCUUAUGACCUGGGCUACAAACGUGAUACAAUGGCUGGAACAAAGGGAUGCGAAGCAGUGAUGUGGAGCGAAACCCAUAAAAACAGUCUCAGUUCGGAUUGAAGUCUGCAACUCGACUUCAUGAAGUCGGAAUCGCUAGUAAUCGCGGAUCAGAACGCCGCGGUGAAUACAUUCUCGGGGUUU
This 410-nucleotide ribosomal RNA is filed under the name uncultured Acholeplasma sp. RNAcentral's name for it is "bacterial SSU rRNA". It matches the Rfam family "Bacterial small subunit ribosomal RNA", at positions 966 to 1382 of the family's 1533-position model. Lineage: Bacteria; Bacillati; Mycoplasmatota; Mollicutes; Acholeplasmatales; Acholeplasmataceae. The record is from RNAcentral.